AAGCGCAGCAGGCAUCACACACAAGCCCUGGGUAACACCUGCUGCUUUGAACUGUUGGAAUGAAAGGCCGAGGAGGGGACGCUGCCAGUCCAUGCCUCGGAGAUUCACUCCUGCUGCCCGCUUGGAGCAGACUUGAAAUUGAUGUCAGCGUCUAAGCCACCCAGCUCACAGCUGGGCACAGGAAAACACGGAAUAAGGACCCAGUGAACUAAAGGGGCUGAAGCCAUGACUAGGAAUCAUAUGCAUGAAGAAGCCCAGAAGAGCCAAUCCUCCCCAGAAGGGCACCCGGAGACCACUAAGGAAGGAGGGAGGAUACCUUCUGUUCCCGUGUUCAGGCUCCAAUGUAUCCAGGUCACAGGAGGCUGCCUCUCCAGGCAGAGAAACUGAUCCGUCCCUAUCAGUGCCAGGCAGAGGGCAGGGGAUUUCGCACCUGAGCAAGGGUUGGGAUGACUCCCAAGCUUCCAUUCUCCCUGGAGUUCCUCCCGAGGGUCUCUGUGACACAGAGGAGGAAGCAGGAGCUUUCUUUGCAUAAUCAUGGUCAAAUAUUUAUAUUUGUUUAGGAUUUGCUUCUAUAGGAUGUUUUCGUCAUUCAAAUCUAUUUCCAAAAUAAAUCUGGAUCUCUUUUAUAAGAAAAUGCAAUGAAAACACCAGAAUGAUAGAGUAAGAAAAUAGAACUGAAAUUACUGAAAAGGAGCUGAGGAAUUAGAUGUUGCCAGGCAUCUGAGAUGAGAUGAUUAAAACAGCCAGGUGGCUCUGAGCUAAGGCAAAAGGCAGAAUCUGGGGCAACACAGUUUAUAUCAUCUGACAACAUAAAGCAUGCACAUCCUUUGUGUCAAGCCGCACUGCUUCCUGGAACAAACUCAAGGCAGAAUUUAUUACCUGGGUUCCUGUUUAAGUGCAUGUCGAAUGACCAGUUGAUGAAAGCCUUCAAAUAAAGUUUUGCAAAAGAACAAAGAAUGAGACGUGGAGUACUGACCCUCUCUGAAAGGAUACCAGAAUUAAGACUACAGAAGCCGACCCAACAUUUGCUCACUACCUUUUAAAUUGGACUUAAUGCCAUAUUUUAAAAAAUAACCACUUUUAAAAUAAUUUUUGCUUAUAUCAAAAGUAAUACAGGUGAAUUUCAGGAAAUUUGUAAAAUACAGCUUCAAAGAGAGAGGUGGAGAGAGAGAGAGAGA
RNAcentral lists this long non-coding RNA (1178 nucleotides) under Homo sapiens (human). RNAcentral's name for it is "HSALNT0120251". Lineage: Eukaryota; Metazoa; Chordata; Mammalia; Primates; Hominidae. The record is from RNAcentral.